UACGGAGGGUGCAAGCGUUAUCCGGAUUCACUGGGUUUAAAGGGCGCGUAGGUGGGUUGGUAAGUCAGUGGUGAAAUCCCCGAGCUUAACUUGGGAACUGCCAUUGAUACUAUCAGUCUUGAAUACUGUGGAGGUUAGCGGAAUAUGUCAUGUAGCGGUGAAAUGCUUAGAUAUGACAUAGAACACCAAUUGCGAAGGCAGCUGGCUACACAAAUAUUGACACUGAGGCUCGAAAGCGUGGGGAUCAAACAGG
RNAcentral lists this ribosomal RNA (253 nucleotides) under uncultured bacterium. RNAcentral's name for it is "partial 16S ribosomal RNA". It matches the Rfam family "Bacterial small subunit ribosomal RNA", at positions 524 to 776 of the family's 1533-position model. The record is from RNAcentral.